Molecule: ribosomal RNA, 375 nt
Filed under: uncultured bacterium
Lineage: Bacteria
Description: bacterial SSU rRNA
Rfam family: Bacterial small subunit ribosomal RNA
Source: RNAcentral
UAAGACGAACCGUGCGAACGUUGUUCGGAUUCACUGGGCUUAAAGGGCGCGUAGGCGGCUUGCCAAGUCGGGGGUGAAAUCUUUCGGCCCAACCGGAAAAUAGCUUUCGAUACUGGCAGGCUCGAGGGAGGUAGGGGCACGCGGAACUUCCGGUGGAGCGGUGAAAUGCGUAGAUAUCGGAAGGAACGCCGGUGGCGAAAGCGGCGUGCUGGAUCUCCACUGACGCUGAGGCGCGAAAGCCAGGGGAGCAAACGGGAUUAGAUACCCCGGUAGUCCUGGCCCUAAACGAUGGGUACUAGGUAGUGGGCUUGCAUGGGCUCACUGCCGAAGCAAAAGUAUUAAGUACCCCGCCUGGGGAGUAUGGUCGCAAGGCUG